This 254-nucleotide ribosomal RNA is filed under the name uncultured bacterium. RNAcentral's name for it is "partial 16S ribosomal RNA". It matches the Rfam family "Bacterial small subunit ribosomal RNA", at positions 524 to 777 of the family's 1533-position model. The record is from RNAcentral.
UACGUAGGGUCCGAGCGUUGUCCGGAAUUAUUGGGCGUAAAGGGCUCGUAGGCGGUUUGUCGCGUCGGGAGUGAAAUCCACUGGCUUAACUGGUGGCUUGCUUUCGAUACGGGCAGACUGGAGGUAUGCAGGGGAGAACGGAAUUCCUGGUGUAGCGGUGAAAUGCGCAGAUAUCAGGAGGAACACCGGUGGCGAAGGCGGCUCCCUGGUCCGUCCCUGACGCUGAGACGCGAAAGCGCGGGGAGCGAACGGGG